Triticum aestivum (bread wheat) is the source of this 135-nucleotide non-coding RNA. The record is from Rfam. NCBI's taxonomy places the organism in Eukaryota, Viridiplantae, Streptophyta, Magnoliopsida, Poales, Poaceae.
CUUAUACUCCCUCCGACCCAAAAUUCUUGUCUUAGAUUAGUGAAGAUAAGGAUGUAUCUAAUACCAAAACAUGACUUGAUACAUCCGUAUUUAGACAAAUCCGAGACAAGAAUUUUGGGACGGGGGGAGUAUUUC